AUGCAAAUCCCGAACCUCCAUUAUGAAUUAUUAUUUUUGAUCAAAGAAGGGCUUCCCCCUUCCGAUUUUCAUUACUGAAAACUCACUGUAGAACCAUUAAGAUGAAUGGACGGGUACUCCUUUCAUGGUUUACGGCAAUCAGAAAUGAAAAUAAUAAGAAAGAUAAAAUCAGUAGCAACCGACCGACAAGUGUGUCCGUGGGCAACCAAUCGAGACCGCAUUUGACCGACCCUCACCGUCAGGGCAGUAUAUUCCAACAACCUGCAAGAUUUCAUACUCGCCUGUUAUAAAAAAAAAAGCAGAUUUCAUACUCACAUCCAGGGAACAUAAAUGUUAUCACAGAGGAUCGAUAACCAACCCUACCUAGAUAACGCCUGGAUCAUGUCGUGCUCAGGCCAGAGAUGCGUCAUCCAUACUCUGUU
RNAcentral lists this long non-coding RNA (422 nucleotides) under Triticum aestivum (bread wheat). RNAcentral's name for it is "long non-coding RNA (TAES_LNC006409)". Lineage: Eukaryota; Viridiplantae; Streptophyta; Magnoliopsida; Poales; Poaceae. The record is from RNAcentral.